UGAACACUGUAACUUUCUGUGGAUGAAAUUACUGCCACAGCAGUGAGAAGAAGACCUUUAGAAGACUUACUUGUUCACAGCUGAUAGUAUUUCCAGAAUGAAAGACAGGCUCUGGAGAUCCUUCAAGAACCAUGUUGGCCAUCUUACCUAUUUCCUCUCUAGUGCACCUAGAAUAUGAUAGAAACUGCACGUUUAAGUGAGCCCAUCUAUUGCAUUGCUGCUGAAACGAUUCUCCAACAGAAAAUAGAGAACAUUUUUAAUUCUGUCUUAUAAAGCACCAUUUUCACACUUUUUUUUUUCUUUAUACUGGAUUAAUGCUACAUACUAAACUCUGAAGACCCUCUUAUGAAAUAUAUUGGCCAUCAGACCAAUUUCCUUACCCACAGAAGAGACACUGGUGUAGUAUCUCUCUGUUCUUGAGCAAUUUGGCAGCUCGCUUAAGGACAAAUACGUGACCAGAGGGUGGCCCUUGAGCCAUGUGCAAUUUAUGCGACUCCUCAGCACAGCUGGAUCCAGAUGUCCCAGCUGUGGGAGCUCCCCUAAGUCCUCAGCUGCAAGAAGAAUUGACCCAGGAGGGACAGUCAACGUCUGCAGCUGAAGCCAAGCCUUCAAGACAACAAAGAAGAGCUUCUGUUGAUUGUGUUGAUUGUUGAUUGUGACCAUGCGAAGAUUUUGGAACCUUGCCUUAAUGUUGGACAUCCUUUGCUCAUAGCAUCAAAAAGCAAAUUACUGCAUAUUUGUCAUACCACAAAUGUCUGCUGCUGCUGACAGCUGCCAUAAUUUUAUGUAC
RNAcentral lists this long non-coding RNA (790 nucleotides) under Gallus gallus (chicken). Its description in RNAcentral is "lncRNA (ENSGALG00010014815.1)". The record is from RNAcentral. Lineage: Eukaryota; Metazoa; Chordata; Aves; Galliformes; Phasianidae.